This 253-nucleotide ribosomal RNA is filed under the name uncultured bacterium. RNAcentral's name for it is "partial 16S ribosomal RNA". It matches the Rfam family "Bacterial small subunit ribosomal RNA", at positions 524 to 776 of the family's 1533-position model. The record is from RNAcentral.
UACGUAGGUGGCAAGCGUUGUCCGGAUUUACUGGGUGUAAAGGGCGUGCAGCCGGGCUGACAAGUCAGAUGUGAAAUCCCGCGGCUCAACCGCGGAACUGCAUUUGAAACUGUCAGUCUUGAGUACCGGAGAGGUCAUCGGAAUUCCUUGUGUAGCGGUGAAAUGCGUAGAUAUAAGGAAGGACACCAGUGGCGAAGGCGGAUGACUGGACGGCAACUGACGGUGAGGCGCGAAAGCGUGGGGAGCAAACAGG